RNAcentral lists this long non-coding RNA (359 nucleotides) under Nicotiana tabacum (common tobacco). RNAcentral describes it as "long non-coding RNA (NTAB_LNC004148)". The record is from RNAcentral. Lineage: Eukaryota; Viridiplantae; Streptophyta; Magnoliopsida; Solanales; Solanaceae.
CGAAACUCCCUUUUAUUUCUUUUACUAAAGUAAGAAAAUUCAAAAAAAGAAGUCAGUGGUUGUUCUCGAAUUUUGUCCCCAGCCAUCAGCAUUAGGGUUUUAAACCCUAAACUGAAUUUUCCUUUUAGUCAGCAUUAGGGUUUUAAACUCUAAACUGAUUUUUCCUUUCAGCCAGCAUUAGGGAUUUAAACCCUAAACUGAGCUUUUCCAUGCAAUCAGCAUUAGGGUUUUAAACCCUAAACUGAAUUUUUCCUUUAGUCAGCAUUAGGGUUUUAAACCCUAAACUGAACUUUUUCCCAUUCAGCCAGCAUUAGGGUUUUAAACCAUAAACUGAGCUUUUCCAUGCAAUCAACAUUAGG